ACGCUGGCGGUAGGCUUAACACAUGCAAGUCGUGCGAGAAAGUAUCUUCGGAUAUGAGUAGAGCGGCGGACGGGUGAGUAACGCGUAGGAAUCUACCUAGUAGAAGGGGAUAGCCCGGGGAAACUCGGAUUAAUACCGUAUACCUCCUUCGGGAGAAAGAAGGCCUCUCUUUGAAGCUUUCGCUACUAGAUGAGCCUGCGUAAGAUUAGCUUGUUGGUGAGGUAAAGGCUCACCAAGGCGACGAUCUUUAGCGGGUCUGAGAGGACGAUCCGCCACAUUGGGACUGAGACACGGCCCAGACUCCUACGGGAGGCAGCAGUGGGGAAUAUUGGACAAUGGGCGCAAGCCUGAUCCAGCCAUACCGCGUGUGUGAAGAAGGCCCUAGGGUUGUAAAGCACUUUAAGUUGGGAAGAAAAGUUAUUGGUUAAUACCCAAUAGCCGUAACAUUACCAUCAGAAUAAGGACCGGCUAAUUCCGUGCCAGCAGCCGCGGUAAUACGGAAGGUCCAAGCGUUAAUCGGAAUUACUGGGCGUAAAGCGCGCGUAGGUGGUUUAUUAAGUUGGAUGUGAAAUCCCCGGGCUCAACCUGGGAACUGCAUCCAAAACUGAUUCACUAGAGUACGAUAGAGGGAGGUAGAAUUCACAGUGUAGCGGUGGAAUGCGUAGAUAUUGUGAAGAAUACCAAUGGCGAAGGCAGCCUCCUGGAUCUGUACUGACACUGAGGUGCGAAAGCGUGGGUAGCGAACAGGAUUAGAUACCCUGGUAGUCCACGCCGUAAACGAU
This 782-nucleotide ribosomal RNA is filed under the name uncultured Gammaproteobacteria bacterium. Its description in RNAcentral is "bacterial SSU rRNA". It matches the Rfam family "Bacterial small subunit ribosomal RNA", at positions 33 to 810 of the family's 1533-position model. The record is from RNAcentral. Lineage: Bacteria; Pseudomonadati; Pseudomonadota; Gammaproteobacteria.